RNAcentral lists this long non-coding RNA (324 nucleotides) under Elaeis guineensis (African oil palm). RNAcentral describes it as "long non-coding RNA (EGUI_LNC068693)". The record is from RNAcentral. Lineage: Eukaryota; Viridiplantae; Streptophyta; Magnoliopsida; Arecales; Arecaceae.
UGCUAGCACAGACAUGAAAAUUAAAUUUUGACUAGCUACAGAAAUAUAAUAAAAGUCUUUCAAAUCUAAUCUAUUGCCAAACGAUAAUCGAAGAGAAUAAGUGCCAACGGUCUCUGCAGCAACCUUUACUCUAUUGUCAACCCGAAGGAUCAUGUCACCUUCCCUCAACCUCCUACUUUCUAUCAGACCCUAUAUUGAGGUACAUAUAUGAGCACUCGAACCAGAGUCCAAUAUCCAACUAGAAGUAGAAUAAAUCGUAAGGUUAGAUUCGAUUACGAGCAUACCUUCGGAAGGUUUAUCAUCUUUUUUGGUCUUUAGGCUCUC